RNAcentral lists this long non-coding RNA (1075 nucleotides) under Arachis ipaensis. RNAcentral describes it as "long non-coding RNA (AIPA_LNC002037)". The record is from RNAcentral. Lineage: Eukaryota; Viridiplantae; Streptophyta; Magnoliopsida; Fabales; Fabaceae.
UCAAACAUCCACCCAAAGAAAACCCGCCCGCUCCAAGUCGGGUUAUUCCUGAUUGGGUAGGGGGCGACUCGGAUACCUCUGUGGAUUUGGAUACUACUGCCAAGUCUGCUCUCUAAUCAUGUCAUCUCCUUCACCAUCUCCAUCGCCACAUUAUCUCUUUUCCCUCCUCACUCGGACCAUUUCUUUCCUCACCUUUACUCUACCGCAUACACCAUCGUCAUAUUACCUUCAUCUUGGAUUUUUGCUUCUUUUCCGUCUCCUAUAAUUGCUCAUCAACAUCACCUUGAAAAUGUAAGAAACGGACGAGAAGUGAGUUGAAUCGUUCUUUAACUCUUUUUUCUUUGAAAUAAGAAUUUAAAAGUUUUUCAAGUAUUUUUUGGACUUAUGUAUAGCAGAUAUAUAUUAAUGUGUUCAAAUAACACGUUUGCUUUUGAACUUGAAUAAUUAAACGAGCAAUAAAUGUAAGAUGCAAGGCUCAACAGAAGUAUGUAGAUGAUAUGUGUUAGUUCAACCUAAAAUACCUACGUUUAGUCUUUAAGUAGUUUGAGAGUUUUACUAACAUAAAGAGUAUACAAAAUAUAUCCUUUGAACAAAGUCUUUUUAGAAUAUGGCUUUGACUCAGAUUGAACCACUUUCUAAAUCUAAGCACUUUCAAUAUUCUGUUAACCAUCUCAAACAAGAUUUAGAUUGGAUGCCCCAACAAUCUAGGACUUUAGAUAUUUUUAUCUCAAACAUUUUUAAACUAAGAAGUAAUUCAGAAUUAAUACCCCACAAAUUUAAGAACCUUAAAUAUUCUCUCUAUUAUCUUAUGUAAGACUUAGAUUAGACCGUAGUCUAAUCUAGGAAUUUUAGAUAUUCUUUUCUUAAAUCUUUUUAAGACUAAAGAUUACUAUUAGAUCAGGUUAUGAUAAAGAAAUUGUUGAGUUCAAAAACUUCGAAUGAUAACCAAGGAGAUAAAGAAUUCAUGAACUUUGCAACUUACUUGCGAAUCCUUUUUCCAAGUAUUUUUGAGACUGCUCGAAGAUGUUACAGAUAAACAUAGACUAGUCUCAGAUUUAUAAAAGUAUAAUCUGAU